This 1041-nucleotide non-coding RNA is filed under the name Drosophila sechellia. RNAcentral describes it as "Eukaryotic large subunit ribosomal RNA". It matches the Rfam family "Eukaryotic large subunit ribosomal RNA", at positions 2538 to 3401 of the family's 3401-position model. Lineage: Eukaryota; Metazoa; Arthropoda; Insecta; Diptera; Drosophilidae. The record is from Rfam by way of RNAcentral.
ACGUGUAUCAUUCCUAGCCAUCAUCACGAUACUAUCAUCAUAUCUUGAUGGUAUGCACACGGACGUGCUGAGAUCAAAGUAUCACGAAGUUUGUUAUAUAAUCGCAAACAAAUUCUUUAAUAAAACGAUGCAUUUAUGUAUUUUUGAUUUGAAAAUUUGGUAUAACUCCAAUUACUCAGGUAUGAUCCAAUUCAAGGACAUUGCCAGGUAGGGAGUUUGACUGGGGCGGUACAUCUCUCAAAUAAUAACGGAGGUGUCCCAAGGCCAGCUCAGUGCGGACAGAAACCACACAUAGAGCAAAAGGGCAAAUGCUGACUUGAUCUCGGUGUUCAGUACACACAGGGACAGCAAAAGCUCGGCCUAUCGAUCCUUUUGGUUUAAAGAGUUUUUAACAAGAGGUGUCAGAAAAGUUACCAUAGGGAUAACUGGCUUGUGGCGGCCAAGCGUUCAUAGCGACGUCGCUUUUUGAUCCUUCGAUGUCGGCUCUUCCUAUCAUUGUGAAGCAAAAUUCACCAAGCGUUGGAUUGUUCACCCAUGCAAGGGAACGUGAGCUGGGUUUAGACCGUCGUGAGACAGGUUAGUUUUACCCUACUAAUGACAAAACGUUGUUGCGACAGCAUUCCUGCGUAGUACGAGAGGAACCGCAGGUACGGACCAAUGGCACAAUACUUGUUCGAGCGAACAGUGGUAUGACGCUACGUCGUUGGAUUAUGCCUGAACGCCUCUAAGGUCGUAUCCGUGCUGGACUGCAAUGAUAAAUAAGGGGCAAUUUGCAUUGUAUGGCUUCUAAACCAUUUAAAGUUUAUAAUUUAUUUUAUAAACGACAAUGGAUGUGAUGCCAAUGUAAUUUGUAACAUAGUAAAUUAGGAGGAUCUUCGAUCACCUGAUGCCGCGCUAGUUACAUAUAAAAGCAUUAUUUAAUACAAUGACAAAGCCUAGAAUCAAUUGUAAACGACUUUUGUAACAGGCAAGGUGUUGUAAGUGGUUGAGCAGCUGCCAUACUGCGAUCCACUGAAGCUUAUCCUUUGCUUGAUGAUUCGA